GUGCUCACUUCAGCAGCACAUAUACCGAAAUUGAAAUGAGACAGAGAAGAUUAGCAUGGCUCCUACACAAGGAUAACACGCAAAUUCAUGAAGCGUUCCAUAUUUUU
This 107-nucleotide small nuclear RNA is filed under the name Phascolarctos cinereus (koala). The record is from RNAcentral. Lineage: Eukaryota; Metazoa; Chordata; Mammalia; Diprotodontia; Phascolarctidae.